This 1124-nucleotide long non-coding RNA is filed under the name Gallus gallus (chicken). RNAcentral describes it as "lncRNA (ENSGALG00010004498.1)". Lineage: Eukaryota; Metazoa; Chordata; Aves; Galliformes; Phasianidae. The record is from RNAcentral.
GACAGGAUGGAGAAGGAUGGCUAAGUCCAAGUCCGAAUAUCUUUAUUUCAAGACUACGCUAAUAGCCUCUAAGAAUUUUUCUCUGCUGCACUUCAGAUAAGAGUGGGCAAACAUGAAUGAUAGUCGUUCGGACAAGGGUCAUUUCAGAGCAGCCAGCGUCAGACCCAACCGAGUGAAGCCAGGAGGGACUUGAAAAUGUAAUUCAGCCAGAAGAACAGGACACGGAUCAGCAAGUGAGUGAUGGAAGGUGUUCAUGAGGAAUUUAGAUUACCACACACUGCAAAUAAACCCUGAGAAGCUGGAGCAGGCAGGGAGUGAGGAAAUCUGACUAGUAGGCAGAGAGGAGCCCUCCCAGGGGUGAGGGAAGAUGUAGGGUGCACCCUGAUCUCCGCCAAAAAUAUCAGUGCUAGUCCAGGAAAGUUUAGUUGUGAUUGAACCCUGAAACUUGGAAAGGUAGGAAGAGAAAUAAAAUAAUGUUGGGCUGGUCUCCAGUAACCAACUAGGAGAUUAAAAUUGCUUGUUUUUUGUAUAACAUUAAAACUGCUUCACAUCUCGACAAAGAUCAGGAAAUUCAAAGUUAAAGCGGAUCCUCAUAAAUGGAAAUUCUUGCCGUCAUGGGAAAUAAAAAGCAUAUCAAGAUGCAAGUGACAGAUGUACUGUCAACUGGGAGCCCCAGCUUGGAAUUUCCUGGCUUUUUUAUUUAUUUCACUGCUCCUAACACAGUGCAUAGCCGGACCAGUGUUUAUUCCUCCUAGUCUCUCCCUUAUUAACAGGUACUCAUAUACACUGAUAAAUAAUUACACAUGCUGUGAAAAUUAAGGUUUUGGGGUUGGUUUUUAUUGCUGUUUUUAUUGUUUGUUUGUUUUUUGGAGUUUUUUUGUUUUGUUUUGGUAAUUGUUUUUGAAACUGCUUAUUAUACAAUUUAGUAGGGAAUUUUUCUCAUUUGGAAAGACCUGUGUAUUACUAAAGGCAAAACUGAGACCUAUCAGUUACAUUUUCCUAUAAAAGAGAAGUCAACACCCGUCUUAAAAUAUCUUGGUAUGUGGAAAUUCACCUGUAAGAUCAAAAAUGCAGUUUCCAAACUCAGCUUCAUCCAGUUCACAUUGAGCAUCCUGAUCAGCAGG